Molecule: ribosomal RNA, 253 nt
Filed under: uncultured bacterium
Lineage: Bacteria
Description: partial 16S ribosomal RNA
Rfam family: Bacterial small subunit ribosomal RNA
Source: RNAcentral
UACGGAGGGUGCAAGCGUUGUCCGGAUUUAUUGGGUUUAAAGGGUGCGUAGGUGGCUUUGUAAGUCCGUGGUGAAAGCCCGCUGCUCAACAGCGGAACUGCCCUGGAUACUGGAUGGCUUGAGUACAGACGAGGUUGGCGGAAUGGACUGAGUAGCGGUGAAAUGCAUAGAUACAGUCCAGAACCCCGAUUGCGAAGGCAGCUGACUAGGCUGUUACUGACGCUGAGGCACGAAAGCGUGGGGAGCGAACAGG